CAGUUAGAAAUGACUGCUAAUACCUUAUACGCCCUCCGGGGGAAAGAUUUAUCGGUAUUAGAUGAGCCCGCGUUUGAUUAGCUAGUUGGUGAGGUAAUGGCUCACCAAGGCGACGAUCAAUAGCUGGUCUGAGAGGAUGAUCAGCCACACUGGGACUGAGACACGGCCCAGACUCCUACGGGAGACAGCAGUGGGGAAUAUUGGACAAUGGGCGAAAGCCUGAUCCAGCCAUGCCGCGUGUGUGAUGAAGGCCUUAGGGUUGUAAAGCACUUUCAACGGUGAAGAUAAUGACGGUAACCGUAGAAGAAGCUCCGGCUAACUUC
Molecule: ribosomal RNA, 323 nt
Filed under: uncultured bacterium
Lineage: Bacteria
Description: bacterial SSU rRNA
Rfam family: Bacterial small subunit ribosomal RNA
Source: RNAcentral